AGCAGAAUAGGGAAAACAAUAUAUUAAAAUUUCAUGCUUUCAUGGAAUGCAACACAUCACAACAAAUCACAUCUCGGAUGGUAUUGUCACCAAUAGUCCUCUACAUAGUCCAACUGUGCCGGGACGUAGAAUGGGUACAACCGGUCUUUCCCUUAACAUAACAUAUCAUACAGUCCAACUGUGCCAGGGACGUAGAAUGGGUACAACCUGGACUUUCUCUUACAUCGUGCCAGGGACGUAGAAUGGGUACAACCUGGACUUCCAUACCAUAUCAUGCCAUAACAUCAUCAUAUCAUAUGAGGACUAAAGGAUCAUCCAAUAACCAAUCCACA
Molecule: long non-coding RNA, 332 nt
Filed under: Manihot esculenta (cassava)
Lineage: Eukaryota; Viridiplantae; Streptophyta; Magnoliopsida; Malpighiales; Euphorbiaceae
Description: long non-coding RNA (MESC_LNC005341)
Source: RNAcentral